UCUUUGGUGAUGAUUAAUACAGUGACUUUCGUUCUUCUGAGUUUAAUGAAGACCAAAUUUCUGUCCUGAAAAGA
Molecule: small nucleolar RNA, 74 nt
Organism: Melanotaenia boesemani (Boeseman's rainbowfish)
Lineage: Eukaryota; Metazoa; Chordata; Actinopteri; Atheriniformes; Melanotaeniidae
Product: small nucleolar RNA SNORD59
Exons: 1
Source: RefSeq, a predicted model, not a curated record